RNAcentral lists this ribosomal RNA (227 nucleotides) under uncultured bacterium. RNAcentral describes it as "partial 16S ribosomal RNA". It matches the Rfam family "Bacterial small subunit ribosomal RNA", at positions 103 to 334 of the family's 1533-position model. The record is from RNAcentral.
CGGGUGAGUAAUGUCUGGGAAACUGCCUGAUGGAGGGGGAUAACUACUGGAAACGGUAGCUAAUACCGCAUAACGUCGCAAGACCAAGAGGGGGACCUUCGGGCCUCUUGCCAUCGGAUGUGCCCAGAUGGGAUUAGCUAGUAGGUGGGGUAAUGGCUCACCUAGGCGACGAUCCCUAGCUGGUCUGAGAGGAUGACCAGCCACACUGGAACUGAGACACGGUCCAG